GGCUGAAAUUGCCUUCAUGAAGCUGGAAUUGCUAGUAAUGGCAGGUCAGCAUACUGCCGUGAAUACGUUCCCGGGCCUUGUACACACCGCCCGUCACACCAUGAGAGUUGGAAAUACCCGAAGCCUGUGAGCUAACAGUAAUGAGGCAGCAGUCGAAGGUAGAGCCAAUGAUUGGGGUGAAGUCGUAACAAGGUAGC
Molecule: ribosomal RNA, 197 nt
Filed under: uncultured bacterium
Lineage: Bacteria
Description: partial 16S ribosomal RNA
Rfam family: Bacterial small subunit ribosomal RNA
Source: RNAcentral